Molecule: ribosomal RNA, 460 nt
Filed under: uncultured bacterium
Lineage: Bacteria
Description: partial 16S ribosomal RNA
Rfam family: Bacterial small subunit ribosomal RNA
Source: RNAcentral
CCUACGGGAGGCAGCAGUGAGGAAUAUUGGUCAAUGGGCGUAAGCCUGAACCAGCCAAGUCGCGUGAGGGAUGAAGGUUCUAUGGAUCGUAAACCUCUUUUAUAAGGGAAUAAAGUGCGGGACGUGUCCCGGUUUGUAUGUACCUAAUGAAUAAGGAUCGGCUAACGCCGGGCCAGCAGCCGCGGUAAUACGGAGGAACCGAGCGUUAUCCGGAUUUAUUGGGUUUAAAGGGUGCGUAGGCGGCCUUUUAAGUCAGCGGUGAAAGUCUGUGGCUCAACCAUAGAAUUGCCGUUGAAACUGGGUGGCUUGAGUAUGUUUGAGGCAGGCGGAACGCGUGGUGUAGCGGUGAAAUGCUUAGAUAUCACGCAGAACCCCGAUUGCGAAGGCAGCCUGCCAAGCCAUGACUGACGCUGAUGCACGAAAGCGUGGGGAUCAAACAGGAUUAGAUACCCUUGUAGUC